Molecule: long non-coding RNA, 668 nt
Organism: Amphimedon queenslandica
Lineage: Eukaryota; Metazoa; Porifera; Demospongiae; Haplosclerida; Niphatidae
Exons: 5
Source: RefSeq, a predicted model, not a curated record
AGAGAGAGAGAGAGGGGGGGAAGGAGGUGGUUCAUGUAUUUGUGCUGUCAUUUUUGUAAGUAAUGUUGCUGCUCUUGUUUGGCCUCUAGUUGUCUGCUCAACCAUUUUGAAUGCCAAAAAUUUAAUAAAAAUGUUACAUAACAUGACAGCUGUCCUUAGAAUUAUGAUGAAGAAUUUGUUGAUAGUUUAUACAAUCUUUGGUGUUAGGACUGAUAGCCUUCUACCUUGUACUAUCAGUCAUUACUGAUCCUCCUCCCCCUUCUUAAUAGGAAUCACUUCUAUUUCUGGAAUAAGAAAACUAAUGAAGUUUCCUGGUACCCACCAGCUAAAACUACCUACCAGCCAAAGCAGACAUUAGCAGAGGAGCAAAGGAAAAGACUUUCAAGGAAGUCUGGGCCUUCAUCUUUCAAGAAAAAGAAAAAGAAAUUUACUGAAGAUACUGACCUAGACCCAAUGGAUCCAGCUGCUUAUUCUGAUGCUCCAAGGGGGACAUGGCAGUCUGGUCUGGAAGAUAAAGGAGAAGCUAAGACUGGUGUGGACACAACUGCUAAUGGACCCCUCUUUCAAAUGAGGCCUUACCCCAGCCCUGGGGCCAUCCUUAAAAUGAAUAAAGAUAUUAAAUCAUGAUUCAUGCACUUGCACUUUUAUUAAUAAAAACUUAACAUCAA